GUGGGGAAUUGUUCGCAAUGGGCGAAAGCCUGACGACGCAACGCCGCGUGGAGGAUGAAGGUCUUCGGAUUGUAAACUCCUGUUGAUCGGGAAGAAUUUCUCCGGGGUCAAUACCCCCGGAGAGUGACGGUACCGGUUGAGGAAGCCCCGGCUAACUCUGUGCCAGCAGCCGCGGUAAUACAGAGGGGGCGAGCGUUGUUCGGAAUUACUGGGCGUAAAGGGCGCGUAGGCGGCCACCUCAGUCGGACGUGAAAUCCCCGGGCUCAACCCGGGAACUGCGUCCGAUACUGGGUGGCUAGAGUCCGGGAGAGGGAAGUGGAAUUCCAGGUGUAGCGGUGAAAUGCGUAGAUAUCUGGAGGAACACCGGUGGCGAAGGCGGCUUCCUGGACCGGUACUGACGCUGAGGCGCGAAAGCCAGGGGAGCAAACGGGAUUAGAUACCCCAGUAGUCC
This 451-nucleotide ribosomal RNA is filed under the name uncultured bacterium. RNAcentral describes it as "bacterial SSU rRNA". It matches the Rfam family "Bacterial small subunit ribosomal RNA", at positions 354 to 796 of the family's 1533-position model. The record is from RNAcentral.